UACGGAAUGUGCAAACGUUAUUCGGAAUCACUGGGCUUAAAGAGUCCGUAGGCGGCUUGUUAGGUGAGGUGUGAAAUCCCUCGGCCCAACCGAGGAAUUGCGCUUCAAACCGGCAAGCUAGAGGAGGAUAGAGGUGGGCGGAACUGAUGGUGGAGCGGUGAAAUGCGUUGAUAUCAUCAGGAACACCGGAGGCGAAGGCGGUCCACUGGGUCCUUUCUGACGCUGAGGGACGAAAGCUAGGGGAGCGAACAGG
This 253-nucleotide ribosomal RNA is filed under the name uncultured bacterium. RNAcentral's name for it is "partial 16S ribosomal RNA". It matches the Rfam family "Bacterial small subunit ribosomal RNA", at positions 524 to 776 of the family's 1533-position model. The record is from RNAcentral.